This is a long non-coding RNA of Macrobrachium nipponense, 433 nucleotides long. RefSeq lists it as uncharacterized. The transcript is spliced from 2 exons. The record is from RefSeq and is a predicted model, not a curated record. NCBI's taxonomy places the organism in Eukaryota, Metazoa, Arthropoda, Malacostraca, Decapoda, Palaemonidae.
GGCCCUUGGAGGUUGGGCCCUUGAAGGUUGGGCCCGUGGAGGUGGAGCCAUUGGCCCAGGGCCCACCCACCUUCGUCUGUCAAGAAGAUGGCUACUUCGCCGACUUCCAUAGGAGCUGCACCGUUUACUAUCGCUGCGAAGGUGGUGUAAAGCAAACGUUUGAAUGCCCAACCGGUGAACUCUUCGACGAAGGGAAGGCCAUGUGUGUCCCACAAGAGGACGUUCAGUGUCCUUAUCCUAAAAGCAGCUAGACCUCUCCUCUCCUGGGACGCAAUGGACUCAAGUCUGUCUCAAGAUGAACUCCGUACCUGACCAUGGCAUGAUGACCUUGAUAACACUGUAUAUCAUUCUUGGAUAAAUAUUUGCAUUCAAACUGUUUAUAGAGAAGUUUCUUAAUGUGUAACUUUGUCUCAAUAAAUAUGAAUUGCAGCAA